RNAcentral lists this long non-coding RNA (312 nucleotides) under Anas platyrhynchos platyrhynchos (common mallard). RNAcentral's name for it is "lncRNA (ENSAPLG00000020720.1)". Lineage: Eukaryota; Metazoa; Chordata; Aves; Anseriformes; Anatidae. The record is from RNAcentral.
AUGAAAGCCAAACGACCAAAAUCCAGGAAGAGUGCUCAGUUCGUGGAUUUUCUCAUUUGCUUUCGUAGAUAUGAGAGAUUGUGUUGCUCAGGUGUUCAAGCUGGCACUGAGUGUAACCCCCAUGGUGGCAAGCUCCCCUGCUCCUUUCAGGUGUUUUGCUGGUGGGAUCAUCCAUGUUGCAGGAGACUCUCUGAGCCCCAGCAAGGAUCGCUCAGCACCAGCACUGGAAGCAGUCCGGUCCCACUGCCCUCUGAAACAGCAUUGCAACCACAGCUAAAUGGUAGCUCAGCUCCUCUCAGCUUUAUCUUUUAG